RNAcentral lists this long non-coding RNA (1321 nucleotides) under Hordeum vulgare. RNAcentral's name for it is "long non-coding RNA (HVUL_LNC019504)". Lineage: Eukaryota; Viridiplantae; Streptophyta; Magnoliopsida; Poales; Poaceae. The record is from RNAcentral.
UGUUGUGUUGGUUGCUUAUUUUGAUGAAACUAUGGAUAGUAUCGGGGGGUGUUAGCCAUGGAAGAUUGAAAAUACAGUAACCCAACAUCAGCACAAGUAGAAUUUAAGUUUUCUACAGUACCUAAGGAAGUGGUGGUUUGCUUUCUCAUACUAAUGUUAUGACGAGUUUCUGUUUAAGUUUCCUGUUGUGAAGUUUUGAAGUUUUGGGUGAAGUUCUUAUGGACAAAAAGAUAAAGAGUGGCAAAAGCUCAAGCUUGAGGAUGCCCAAGGAACCCCAAGAGAUUCAAGGAUGCCGUAAAAGCCUAAGCUUGGGGAUACCCCGGGAAGGCAUCCCCUCUCUCGUCUUCAAUCCAUCGGAACGUUACUUGGGGCUAUAUUUUUAUUCACCACAUGUUAUGUGUUUUUGCUUGGAGCGUCUUCUAUCGUAGGAGUCUUUUUUUGUCACUAUCAUCCUUGCUGCACACCUAGAUAGAGAGACAUGCAGUCACCAUGAUUUUGUCGAGGUUCACUUAUAUCUUUUGGUAGACAAUUCAGCUCACAUGUGCUUCACUUAUAUCUUUUGAGUUAGACACUUUUGCUCUAUGUGCUUCACUUAUAUAUCUUAGAGCACAGUGGUGCGCGGCUUGGUAGUUGAUCUAUGCUUUGAAACUAGUCUCAAAAGGGGUAGUUAUCCAAAGGGAUAUGAAAACUUCCACCUUCAUGUGCAUUGAAUAGUUAGAGAAGUUUGACUCAUCUCAAUUAGUUUUGAGUUGUAAUUAUGGUAAUAUUGAAGUCAUGCUAGUAAGGUGUUGCGGAUCUAGAAAUACAUGUGUUGAAGUUAGUGAUUCCCGUAGCAUGCACGUAUGGUGAACCGCUAUGUGAUGAAACCUGAGCAUGAUUAGUAUAUUGAUUGUCAUCCUUUGCAUGACGGUCGGGAUCGCGCAAUGGUUUAUACCUACCAACCCUUCCCGUAGGAGUAUGCGUUGAAUUCUUUGUUUCGAUUACUAAUAAACUUUUGCAACAAGUAUAUGAGUUCUUCAUAACUAAUGUUGAGUCCAAGGUUUAGAUGCACUUUCACUUUCCACCAUCACCAUCUUCUUAGUGCCGUGCAACUUUCGCCGGUACAUAAAACCCACCAUUAGCCUCCCUCAAAACAGCCACCAUACCUACCUACUAUGGAUUUUUCAAAGUCAUUCCGAGAUAUAUUGCCAUGCAACUACCACCAUGACAUGUGCCACCACGUCUACAUUGCCAUUUCAUGAUCAUAAGAUAGCUAGUAUGAUGUCUAUGCCAUGCUAAGAUCUUUGCCACGGUACACUACCAAAGGCAUUCCAUAUAGAGU